RNAcentral lists this ribosomal RNA (626 nucleotides) under Heterocampa umbrata. RNAcentral describes it as "eukaryotic LSU rRNA". Lineage: Eukaryota; Metazoa; Arthropoda; Insecta; Lepidoptera; Notodontidae. The record is from RNAcentral.
GGGGUAAACCUGCGAAACUCGAAUGAACGAACGGAGAGAUUCAUCGUCAUUCCGCGGCGUAUCGGCGCCAGUCAGAUGUGGGUCGGUCUCGAUCGGCUCGCACUGCUGGCGUAGGUCACGUCCGUGGACGGCGUGCACUUCUCUCUCAGUAACGCAUGCAUCGCGACCCGUUCGAUGUCGGUCUAAGCGCCGCUCGGGAGCCCGGCCGUCCCCUUCGGGGGUGCGACCGGACCGUGGCGGUCGCCGACCGGCCGUCGGACGGUAUAAAGUAUGAAACGCGCACGCGUUUAACGCGUCCGGCCCGACGCAAGUCAACGUCGUAUCCGACUUCCCGCCCGAGUGCGGAUGUUGGUGCGGCGCGUCUGGUGUCGCUGCCGUGCAGUCUCGGACUGUGCGCGUCUCCGUCUGCGAUGAUUCGGUUUCGGGCACUCGCAGGACCCGUCUUGAAACACGGACCAAGGAGUCUAGCAUGUAUGCGAGUCAUUGAGAUUACAAUAAACUGAAAGGCGUAACGAAAGUGAAGGCGUGCGCUUGUCGCGCGCUCAGGGAGGAUGGUGUCGCGAUCUAGGUCCGGCGCUCGCACUCCCGAGGCGUCUCGUUUCCAAUCCGUGAAUGCAGGCGCGCUC